AACGCAUAUUGCGCCUCUUGGUAUUCCGGGAGGCAUGCCUGUUUGAGAACCUUGACGUCCCUCACAACCCCCCAUUCUUUUCAAGAACGGUCGGGUGGUGGAUGUGGGCCUUUCCUCUGAAUAUCCUCACGGAUUUCGGAGUGGCCUGAAAGUCAUUUCUGGUGCUGUCACCUCGCCACCGCGAAGUAGUCCAUGACCAAGACGUGAAAGUAUGGGAAACCAUUCCAAUCGUCGAUGAACCUUGGCAAACGCGGGUCAAUGGCAAGGAGAUAUUUGCAUGCCAGCUCAACCAACUGUGCCAGGCGGCGUAGCUCGCAAGAGCUUUGUCGAACACCUGAACACCUGGUCUCAAAUCAGACAAGAUUACCCGCUGAACUUAA
Molecule: unclassified non-coding RNA, 380 nt
Filed under: uncultured fungus
Lineage: Eukaryota; Fungi
Description: partial contains 5.8S ribosomal RNA, internal transcribed spacer 2, and large subunit ribosomal RNA
Source: RNAcentral